RNAcentral lists this ribosomal RNA (294 nucleotides) under Triticum aestivum (bread wheat). RNAcentral's name for it is "partial small subunit ribosomal RNA". Lineage: Eukaryota; Viridiplantae; Streptophyta; Magnoliopsida; Poales; Poaceae. The record is from RNAcentral.
AUGGGAGCUCAAAAGGGUCCUGCUGGGGUUAGUGUGAUCAUGGUGAGUCUGAUCAUAGUGAUCAUGUCCACUGCGGCUAUGAGCUGCUCGAAGAAGGCGGCCACCGACGAGAAGACGUCCUGGCCGGAGGUGGUAGGGUUGAGCGUGGAGAAGGCCAAGGAGAUCAUCCUCAAGGACAAGCCCGACGCCGACAUCGUCGUCCUCCCCGUUGGCUCGCCGGUCACCAAGGACUACAGGUCCCAGCGCGUCCGCAUCUUCGUUGACAUCGUCGCCGAGACCCCCCACACUGGCUAG